UUUUUUUCUUUUUUUUUUUUUUUUUUUUCUGAAAUUAGUAAACAGCAUUUAUUCUCAGUCUUACCUUCCAAAAGUUCCACUUGGAACAUUGCUGGGCAGUGUGGAAACAGAAGUAAACGUCAGCCAGGCCGCCAGGGGGAGGCAGACCCCACACUUCUCCGCACGCCCUUCCCUCCUGUGGGAGCGAGUGUCCAGCUGCCAAAACCUGUCGCGGUUUGACUUCAGCCAGCAGAUGGUUCAUGUCCUUCUGAGGCCGCAAAAUUCGGGGUGAAAGGAGUGGGGCGUGCGGCUGAGAGUGGGGAGAGCAAUCCAGGGGCGCCAGUGUGGGAGCUGCAGCGGGUCUGUGGUCGCCUGGAGGACACUGAUGCUUCUGGAGCUCGGGAGGGGUGCGGCUUCCACUCAGUGGGAUGGAAACUUCAGUUCUCCAUCCCUGAAGACUUUUCAGCUCAAUAAGAAUUCCCCUUUUUUGCUUAAUCCAACUUUAGUUGGAUUUUCUGUCACUUGCAAGAGUCGUGUUAGAUACAACUCUAUUCUGUAUUAUUAUCAGGAGCUGCCAUGAUGGAGUGCUUAGCAUGUGCUCGACACUGGAUGCACUUUCUUAUUGUUUCUCCCCCAGCAACCCUGCAGCCCCCAUUUCAUAUGAGAAAACAAUCAACGAGAGCUCAUGACUUUUCUAAGUCCCAACAGCCAAUAAGUGGGAACCAGGGUUCUAAUUCAGGUCUGCCUGUGCCAUUCUGCACCUUCUCUGAGCCUCAGGUUCCUCAUUUGUAAAACAGGAACAAUAAUAUCUAAGUCUUAGAGGUUUGUAGUAUUUAAAUUUUUAUAAAUGCAAAACACUGGGAGCAGCCUGGCACACCCAAAGGUAUUCCUCGUUUGCCAAGUUUCCUUUUAGUUGGUCUCAGUGUUCCCAGACUCGGGAGUACAGAAAGGGGGAUCAAGAAACCAAGGAGGAUGAGGUCUUAAAAAUAGUAGGAAAAGCACAGAAAAAGGAAAGGAAAGCAAACUUUGCAAUUAUCUAGACCAGUGGUUUUUAACCUUUUUGUUAAACAAAAAAAACCAACAAACAAAACCUUUCUUCAAAUGACAGCUUAUGCAAAAGGCUGAUGUGGAAAACACCACUUGAACAUGCUGGUUUUACAAAUGAGGGGUUGGAGUCAAGUGGUACAAAGAGGUAACAUGCCUUGUCCAGGUCUGUUUGGCUAGUGGCAGAGUCAGAACGGUUUUCUAGGGCUCCAGAC
RNAcentral lists this long non-coding RNA (1238 nucleotides) under Macaca fascicularis (crab-eating macaque). RNAcentral describes it as "lncRNA (ENSMFAG00000056349.1)". The record is from RNAcentral. Lineage: Eukaryota; Metazoa; Chordata; Mammalia; Primates; Cercopithecidae.